RNAcentral lists this ribosomal RNA (610 nucleotides) under Paenibacillus sp. UST050418-290. RNAcentral describes it as "bacterial SSU rRNA". It matches the Rfam family "Bacterial small subunit ribosomal RNA", at positions 395 to 997 of the family's 1533-position model. The record is from RNAcentral. Lineage: Bacteria; Bacillati; Bacillota; Bacilli; Caryophanales; Paenibacillaceae.
AUGCGCGUGAGUGAUGAAGGUUUCGGAUCGUAAAGCUCUGUUGCCAGGAAGAACGCUUGGGAGAGUAACUGCUCUCAAGGUGACGGUACCUGAGAAGAAAGCCCCGGCUAACUACGUGCCAGCAGCCGCGGUAAUACGUAGGGGGCAAGCGUUGUCCGGAAUUAUUGGGCGUAAAGCGCGCGCAGGCGGUCAUUUAAGUCUGGUGUUUAAUCCCGGGGCUCAACCCCGGAUCGCACUGGAAACUGGGUGACUUGAGUGCAGAAGAGGAGAGUGGAAUUCCACGUGUAGCGGUGAAAUGCGUAAUAUGUGGAGGAACACCAGUGGCGAAGGCGACUCUCUGGGCUGUAACUGACGCUGAGGCGCGAAAGCGUGGGGAGCAAACAGGAUUAGAUACCCUGGUAGUCCACGCCGUAAACGAUGAGUGCUAGGUGUUAGGGGUUUCGAUACCCUUGGUGCCGAAGUUAACACAUUAAGCACUCCGCCUGGGGAGUCACGGUCGCAAGACUGAAACUCAAAGGAAUUGACGGGGGACCCGCACCAAGCAGUGGAGUAUGUGGUUUAAUUCGAAGCAACGCGAAGAACCUUACCAGGUCUUGACAUCCUCUGACCG